RNAcentral lists this ribosomal RNA (875 nucleotides) under uncultured archaeon. RNAcentral's name for it is "bacterial SSU rRNA". It matches the Rfam family "Archaeal small subunit ribosomal RNA", at positions 1 to 872 of the family's 1478-position model. The record is from RNAcentral.
UCCGGUUGAUCCUGCCGGAGGCCACUGCUAUGGGGGUCCGACUAAGCCAUGCGAGUCAUGGGGCGCGCUCUGCGCGCACCGGCGGACGGCUCAAUAACACGUCGGUAACCUACCCUCGGGAGGGGGAUAACCCCGGGAAACUGGGGCUAAUCCCCCAUAGGCCUGAGGUACUGGAAGGUCCUCAGGCCGAAAGGGCGUAAGCCGCCCGAGGAUGGGCCGGCGGCCGAUUAGGUAGUUGGUGGGGUAACGGCCCACCAAGCCGAAGAUCGGUACGGGCCAUGAGAGUGGGAGCCCGGAGAUGGACACUGGAGACACGGGUCCAGGCCCUACGGGGCGCAGCAGGCGCGAAACCUCCGCAAUGCGGGCAACCGCGACGGGGGGACCCCCAGUGCCGUGGCACAGCCACGGCUUUUCCGGAGUGUAAAAAGCUCCGGGAAUAAGGGCUGGGCAAGGCCGGUGGCAGCCGCCGCGGUAAUACCGGCGGCCCAAGUGGUGGCCGCUAUUAUUGGGCCUAAAGCGUCCGUAGCCGGGCCCGUAAGUCCCUGGCGAAAUCCCACGGCUCAACCGUGGGGCUUGCUGGGGAUACUGCGGGCCUUGGGACCGGGAGAGGCCGGGGGUACCCCUGGGGUAGGGGUGAAAUCCUGUAAUCCCAGGGGGACCGCCUAUGGCGAAGGCGCCCGGCUGGAACGGGUCCGACGGUGAGGGACGAAGGCCAGGGGAGCGAACCGGAUUAGAUACCCGGGUAGUCCUGGCUGUAAASGAUGCGGGCUAGGUGUCGGGCGAGCUUCGGAGCUCGCCCGGUGCCGAAGGGAAGCCGUUAAGCCCGCCGCCUGGGGAGUACGGCCGCAAGGCUGAAACUUAAAGGAAUUGGCGGG